RNAcentral lists this ribosomal RNA (16 nucleotides) under Anopheles aconitus. Its description in RNAcentral is "partial 28S ribosomal RNA". Lineage: Eukaryota; Metazoa; Arthropoda; Insecta; Diptera; Culicidae. The record is from RNAcentral. RNAcentral also lists the same sequence under 3 other names.
GUAGGCCUCAAGUGAU